RNAcentral lists this ribosomal RNA (427 nucleotides) under uncultured bacterium. RNAcentral describes it as "bacterial SSU rRNA". It matches the Rfam family "Bacterial small subunit ribosomal RNA", at positions 355 to 774 of the family's 1533-position model. The record is from RNAcentral.
UAGGGAAUAUUGGACAAUGGGGGCAACCCUGGUCCAGCCAUGCCGCGUGAGUGAAGAAGGCCCUCGGGUUGUAAAGCUCUUUUGUCCGGAAAGAAAAGCAUUCGGUGAAUACCCGGAUGUUCUGACGGUACCGGAAGAAUAAGCACCGGCUAACUUCGUGCCAGCAGUCGCGGUAAUACGAAGGGUGCAAGCGUUACUCGGAAUUACUGGGCGUAAAGGAUGCGUAGGCGGAUACUUAAGUCAGUGGUGAAAGCCUGUCGCUUAACGAUAGAACUGCCAUUGAUACUGUAAGUCUUGAGUAUAUUUGAGGUAGCUGGAAUAAGUAGUGUAGCGGUGAAAUGCAUAGAUAUUACUUAGAACACCAAUUGCGAAGGCAGGUUACCAGGAUAUAACUGACGCUGAGGGACGAAAGCGUGGGGAGCGAACA